Molecule: non-coding RNA, 73 nt
Organism: Gavialis gangeticus (Gharial)
Lineage: Eukaryota; Metazoa; Chordata; Crocodylia; Gavialidae
Source: the annotation of a RefSeq genome assembly
GCUCUUCUAGUAUUGACAAUACAAAUGACUUCCAAUCAUUAGACCCUGAUAUUAUUUAACCCAGGGAAGAGCA